UGGCGGCAGGCUUAACACAUGCAAGUCGAGCGGGGGAAGGUGCUUCGGUACUGACCUUAGCGGCGGACGGGUGAGUAAUGCUUAGGAAUCUGCCUAUUAGUGGGGGACAACAUCUCGAAAGGGAUGCUAAUACCGCAUACGUCCUACGGGAGAAAGCAGGGGAUCACUUGUGACCUUGCGCUAAUAGAUGAGCCUAAGUCGGAUUAGCUAGUUGGUGGGGUAAAGGCCUACCAAGGCGACGAUCUGUAGCGGGUCUGAGAGGAUGAUCCGCCACACUGGGACUGAGACACGGCCCAGACUCCUACGGGAGGCAGCAGUGGGGAAUAUUGGACAAUGGGGGGAACCCUGAUCCAGCCAUGCCGCGUGUGUGAAGAAGGCCUUAUGGUUGUAAAGCACUUUAAGCGAGGAGGAGGCUCUUUUGGUUAAUACCCAAGAUGAGUGGACGUUACUCGCAGAAUAAGCACCGGCUAACUCUGUGCCAGCAGCCGCGGUAAUACAGAGGGUGCAAGCGUUAAUCGGAUUUACUGGGCGUAAAGCGCGCGUAGGCGGCCAAUUAAGUCAAAUGUGAAAUCCCCGAGCUUAACUUGGGAAUUGCAUUCGAUACUGGUUGGCUAGAGUGUGGGAGAGGAUGGUAGAAUUCCAGGUGUAGCGGUGAAAUGCGUAGAGAUCUGGAGGAAUACCGAUGGCGAAGGCAGCCAUCUGGCCUAACACUGACGCUGAGGUGCGAAAGCAUGGGGAGCAAACAGGAUUAGAUACCCUGGUAGUCCAUGCCGUAAACGAUGUCUACUAGCCGUUGGGGCCUUUGAGGCUUUAGUGGCGCAGCUAACGCGAUAAGUAGACCGCCUGGGGAGUACGGUCGCAAGACUAAAACUCAAAUGAAUUGACGGGGGCCCGCACAAGCGGUGGAGCAUGUGGUUUAAUUCGAUGCAACGCGAAGAACCUUACCUGGCCUUGACAUAGUAGAAACUU
This 969-nucleotide ribosomal RNA is filed under the name Acinetobacter soli. RNAcentral's name for it is "bacterial SSU rRNA". It matches the Rfam family "Bacterial small subunit ribosomal RNA", at positions 37 to 998 of the family's 1533-position model. Lineage: Bacteria; Pseudomonadati; Pseudomonadota; Gammaproteobacteria; Moraxellales; Moraxellaceae. The record is from RNAcentral.